GACGAACGCUGGCGGCGUGCUUAAUACAUGCAAGUCGAACGAUGAAAGCUGGAGCUUGCUCCGGCUGGAUUAGUGGCGAACGGGUGAGUAACACGUGAGUAACCUGCCCCUCACUCUGGGAUAACCUCGGGAAACCGAAGCUAAUACCGGAUACGACCCUCGGAGGCAUCUCCAGGGGGUGGAAAGAAUUUCGGUGAGGGAUGGACUCGCGGCCUAUCAGGUAGUUGGUGAGGUAACGGCUCACCAAGCCGACGACGGGUAGCCGGCCUGAGAGGGUGACCGGCCACACUGGGACUGAGACACGGCCCAGACUCCUACGGGAGGCAGCAGUAGGGAAUAUUGCACAAUGGGCGCAAGCCUGAUGCAGCAACGCCGCGUGAGGGACGAC
This 388-nucleotide ribosomal RNA is filed under the name uncultured bacterium. RNAcentral describes it as "bacterial SSU rRNA". It matches the Rfam family "Bacterial small subunit ribosomal RNA", at positions 28 to 412 of the family's 1533-position model. The record is from RNAcentral.